This 464-nucleotide ribosomal RNA is filed under the name Africophilus sp. n. 3 BI-2011. RNAcentral's name for it is "partial 16S ribosomal RNA". Lineage: Eukaryota; Metazoa; Arthropoda; Insecta; Coleoptera; Dytiscidae. The record is from RNAcentral.
AACAAAAACAUGGUUUUUUGAAUAUAAUUUAAGAUCUAAUCUGCCCACUGAUUUAAUUAUUAAAGGGCCGCAGUAUAUUGACUGUGCGAAGGUAGCAUAAUCAAUAGUUUUUUAAUUGAAAGCUUGUAUGAAUGAUUGGACGAGAUAAAUUCUGUCUUUAUUUAAUUUAUUUUAGAAUUUAAUUUUUAAGUUAAAAAGCUUAAAUUUAUAUAAAAGACGAGAAGACCCUAUAGAUCUUUAUAAUUAAUUAUUAAAUUUAUUUUAUGGAAAUAUUUUAUAUGUUAAUAAUUAAUUAUUUUAUUGGGGUAAUAAAAAGAUUUAAUUAAUUCUUUUAUUUAUUUACAUUGAUAUAUGAUUUUAUUUGAUCCUUUAUUAGAGAUUAAAAGAUUAAGUUACCUUAGGGAUAACAGCGUAAUUUUUUUUUAGAGUUCAUAUCGAUAAAAAAGUUUGCGACCUCGAUGUUG